UAAUUUGUCUUGGGUUCCUUUCAAGUCUCUUUUCUCUUGGUCAGUGUGAGACGAUACACCAAUUAACUGGGCCACGCUAAUCAACACCAUUUGGCAGGGUACUUUGAUGAUUGUCAAAGCUUUUAUUGUCGUUGUAUACUUAAGCAUAGGCAUGAGAUAGAAUAGAUGUCAACAACAUGGAAAAAUUGCACACCAAGGAGAAAAUGUAUAAAAG
RNAcentral lists this unclassified non-coding RNA (214 nucleotides) under Hevea brasiliensis (rubber tree). The record is from RNAcentral. Lineage: Eukaryota; Viridiplantae; Streptophyta; Magnoliopsida; Malpighiales; Euphorbiaceae.